RNAcentral lists this ribosomal RNA (768 nucleotides) under uncultured bacterium. RNAcentral describes it as "bacterial SSU rRNA". It matches the Rfam family "Bacterial small subunit ribosomal RNA", at positions 85 to 883 of the family's 1533-position model. The record is from RNAcentral.
CUGUCGGCGAGCGGCGGACGGCUGAGUAACGCGUGGGAAUCUACCCUAAAGUGAGGGAUAACCGCCCGAAAGGGUGGCUAAUACCGCAUAUGAUCUUCGGAUUAAAGGAUUUAUCCGCUUUAGGAAGAGCCCGCGUUAGAUUAGGUAGUUGGUAGGGUAAUGGCCUACCAAGCCAACGAUCUAUAGCUGGUCUGAGAGGAUGAUCAGCCAGACUGGAACUGAGACACGGUCCAGACUCCUACGGGAGGCAGCAGUGAGGAAUCUUCCACAAUGGGCGAAAGCCUGAUGGAGCAACGCCGCGUGAAGGAUGAAGGCCUUCGGGUUGUAAACUUCUUUUAUGAGUGAAGAAUAUGACGGUAACUCAUGAAUAAGCACCGGCUAACUACGUGCCAGCAGCCGCGGUCAUACGUAGGGUGCAAGCAUUAUCCGGAGUGACUGGGCGUAAAGAGUUGCGUAGGCGGUUUAGUAAGUGAAUAGUGAAACCUGGUGGCUCAACCAUACAGACUAUUAUUCAAACUGUUAAACUCGAGAGUGGUAGAGGUAACUGGAAUUUCUAGUGUAGGAGUGAAAUCCGUAGAUAUUAGAAGGAACACCAAUGGCGUAGGCAGGUUACUGGACCAUUUCUGACGCUAAGGCACGAAAGCGUGGGGAGCGAACUGGAUUAGAUACCCAGGUAGUCCACGCCGUAAACGAUGGAUACUAGCUGUUGGAGGUAUCGACCCCUUCAGUAGCGAAGCUNACGCGUUAAGUAUNCCGCCUGUGGAGUAC